UCCAGACUCCUACGGGAGGCAGCAGUGGGGAAUAUUGCACAAUGGGGGGAACCCUGAUGCAGCGACGCCGCGUGGGCGAGGAAGUAUUUCGGUAUGUAAAGCCCUAUCGGCAGGGAAGAAGAAAUGACGGUACCUGAAUAAGAAGCACCGACUAAAUACGUGCCAGCAGCCGCGGUAAUACGUAUGGUGCAAGCGUUAUCCGGAUUUACUGGGCGUAAAGGGAGCGCAGGCGGCGCGCCAAGUCUGAUGUGAAACCCCGGGGCUCAACCCCGGGCAUGCAUUGGAAACUGUACGGCUAGAGUACGGGAGGGGCAGGCGGGAUUCCUAGUGUAGCGGUGAAAUGCGUAGAUAUUAGGAGGAACACCGGCGGCGAAGGCGGCCUGCUGGACCGAAACUGACGUUGAGGCUCGAAAGCGUGGGGAGCAAACAGGAUUAGAUACCCCGGUA
This 447-nucleotide ribosomal RNA is filed under the name uncultured bacterium. RNAcentral describes it as "bacterial SSU rRNA". It matches the Rfam family "Bacterial small subunit ribosomal RNA", at positions 330 to 792 of the family's 1533-position model. The record is from RNAcentral.